CGGGGCGUGGCGCAGCCUGGUUAGCGCGUCGGUCUGGGGGACCGAAGGUCCCCGGUUCAAAUCCGGGCGCCCCGA
This 75-nucleotide transfer RNA is filed under the name Gaiellaceae bacterium. RNAcentral's name for it is "tRNA-Pro". It matches the Rfam family "tRNA". From Rfam's summary of the family: Transfer RNA (tRNA) molecules are approximately 80 nucleotides in length. Their secondary structure includes four short double-helical elements and three loops (D, anti-codon, and T loops). The record is from RNAcentral. Lineage: Bacteria; Bacillati; Actinomycetota; Thermoleophilia; Gaiellales; Gaiellaceae. RNAcentral also lists the same sequence under 2 other names.